AGACACAAACUUAAAGCUAUAUAAGUUUUAUAUUUCUACACAUACUACUAUCUCGUUCCACAAUCAUUGAUAUGCAACAUCAUAUUGAUAUUUAUAAUCGAGAUCAAAUAACACUCAACAAUUACCAAAAGACUAUAGAAGGAUUGAAAUUUUUCGAAAUACCUUCACUUAACACCAUCGAAAACCAUUCCUCAACUUCGAAAACAAGCUUAAAAGCUCGAAUUUUUCAUCAAAAGAGCUGUCAAUCCUCCUCAUCACUCUCAUCACUA
RNAcentral lists this unclassified non-coding RNA (269 nucleotides) under Hevea brasiliensis (rubber tree). The record is from RNAcentral. Lineage: Eukaryota; Viridiplantae; Streptophyta; Magnoliopsida; Malpighiales; Euphorbiaceae.